Molecule: ribosomal RNA, 498 nt
Filed under: Triticum aestivum (bread wheat)
Lineage: Eukaryota; Viridiplantae; Streptophyta; Magnoliopsida; Poales; Poaceae
Description: partial small subunit ribosomal RNA
Source: RNAcentral
AUGCAGCUGCGCUCCCUCCCGUUCGCCGCGAGCGCCGUGGCCGGAAGGAGCUUCCUUGCCGCUAUUCCUCGGCCGGUGACGGAGAGAAGGAAGCAGAUAUGUUGCAACGCGGGCAACUCCUCGUCGGAGAAGGAGGGCAGCGAGCUUAGCACGGCGGAAGAGGCGCUGCGGCGGCUGGCGGAGCUCGACGCCCAGCUGGAGGGGCUGAAGGAGCCCAAGAUGAGGCCGCCGCCGCCCCCUCCUCCCCCGGAUCCUUUCAUGGACCGCGAUAUGAUAAUACAGCGAGGACGCCCAAGUGAUGAGCUCCCAGAAAUGACCCCGGCCUACGUGACGUUCUCGACUCUGGCAAUUUUUAUCUUGACCAUCUUCACCAACGUGGUGUUCAACGUGUACAUCAAGCCUUCCGUGGACGGCGCCGAUCAGCCGGUACGAAUCCAGAGAGUGCCUCUGGCUGAUCCUAGCUUCCAGCAGCCCGGCAAUUCUAGUGAUAGCUCGUAG